AAUAUUACAGAAAAAUGAAGUGAAAAAUGAAGAAAUGUAUUUUGAAAUUCUGAGAAGACAUAGGUGGCUUGAUUUCUAGUAGGAUUUUUGAUAAUCUUUACUAGAUUAGUAUUUAUUUUCCAGCAGUGCAUAUUUUCUGGUGAGAAAACCUGAAUCAAAAACAUUGAACAGGUUUGUACUGCACUGUUAUCAUUAGAAAUAAAAUUUAAAAAUUGUUCAGACAUGGCCAAUAUUCUCAUUGUUUAUAUAAACCACAAUCUUCUUUUUCCUGCUGUGGGAUAGGCCUGAGGGUUGAUCCUGUCUCACACUUUCCUCAUAGAGUGCAGAUAAUCAGCUACUGUACUUCUUCUCCGAUAGGUUUCCACAGUCCACCUCUGGGACCAGGCAGAAAGAAAAGGUGGAUCUGGAAGCAUUCAGAUUUGGAUUUGGUCUUCUUACUGGCAAAGGGAACAUGGUAGAAGAUAUGUACGAACAACUUAUGAUUUUACAUGCAAAUGUCAAAAUAAUAUUGCAAACAAGAUGAACUCCAGCUGUAUCUUACUCUACAUUUGAUAUAAUUUUGCUGCCUAUCUAGUGGGUGGCAGCCCUGUAUACAACACUGUGGUUAUAUCUGUUACUCUGGGACACUGUGUUUGUUAUUUUUAUAUCCAUUUGAGUCUACUGAUUCUUGAUGCAUGAGGAAAUACACCUAACUAUAUAUAUGACUGAAGGUAAAGAAGACAGCUAGAAUAGAUACAGAGUAAGUCAAGUCUUCUUGUGUUGCAAGAAAACCAAACUGUUUGGAGUGUCAAUUCAAAACUUAAACUUCUGAACACUACAAACUGAAGCAGGAGCAGAAAGCAAGGUGUAGUUAGUAGUGGAGACCAGAACGUUGGCCAUAUCUGAGUUUCCUAGUGUAGAAUCACAACUCUAAUCACAAUUCAGAGAACAGUGUUUUAAGUUAAAUUAAUGUUUACUUUUAAUUCUUCCUGUUCAACUCCUUAAAAAAUGGGACUUUUUCUAGAGUACAUGGUAAAUUAAAACUUUUGUUCAUUUUAUUUUUCCCCUGCUUAUUUACCCUGCUCUCCAUCACAGCUUUGCCUUGAGUACAAAAUACUUUUUUCACAUCAUAUACUGGAGAUGUCCAGCCACACUAAGGGAGUCUGAUUAAACUUAUUUUCUUGUCUGUCUUUCAAAUGGUUAUUUCAUUUAAUAACCGUAUUUAAUUUGCAUUUAAUUUCUGCAGCACUCUAUAGCAUCAAAAUAACAUUUAUUUGUCUGAAAU
This 1264-nucleotide long non-coding RNA is filed under the name Phasianus colchicus (ring-necked pheasant). RNAcentral's name for it is "lncRNA (ENSPCLG00000005839.1)". Lineage: Eukaryota; Metazoa; Chordata; Aves; Galliformes; Phasianidae. The record is from RNAcentral.